UGUGUUUCCAGGGCUGCUUGUUCAGCAUUUUCCUUUUCCUAGGCAACGGCGGGCAAGAUGAUGAUUUACCGCUUCCUCCUGCUGUCAGCAGCCAGAGGAGAUGAUGAUUUACCACCUCCUCCAUAAGCUUUGAACUGUUGGGUGCUGUGUGGCUGGAGCAGGAGCCAGGCAAACAGGCUGAAGGAUGAGAAGGAGCUGGAUCCUAUCCAUGGCAAGCAUCCCAGCUGUUGCUAAGCCAUCUCAGGAGGUACCACAGGGGCUGGAGGGGCACCAGACCGCGACUGCUUUGUGGGGCAGAGAUGUGCCAGAUGAAAACCAGCACUCAGAGAGAUGCUGCUGCAGCAAGGUGAUCCAGUCACCUAUGCUGAGGUGAAUAGGAAAUGGAGAUCCGACACACCUGACAGCACACCCAAAAUUACACAUUCAGUGACCUGCUCAGAGAAGUCUCCCUGGUGCUACCUUGUGCUCGCCCUGCUGUUUUGUGCUGCGGUUCUGCUCCUCACAGGCAUCCUGCUGGCGGUGAAAUGCUACAGCCACUGACUCUGCUGCCCCUCCGGUCAGCACAGGAAGGUUCUGAUUCUUCAAUGGAACGGGACAUAGUGCUUGUUUUAUUUUACAUUAUUUUGGCUGAAGAGACAAAGUGGAGACAUGCCAUCAGACUGAUCACUCUCCAGUUAUGUCAUCCCAGAUCUCUGUUAAACCUCUAACCUCUUCACAUAUGGACAAGACAUAUUAAUUUUAUUUGGAAUUUUCUUAAUCCCGUAAUACCAGCAACCAUCCAGCUGUAUCAGUGCGUGUAUCAAGACAUGGGCUCAAGCUCCUGCAGCAAAAAGUGGAUUUGGGCCUUGUUUAGACAACAAAAAUGACCAGGUAGAGACAAUACUUUUAGUUCACAUCUGACUUGAUUCUGCACUGAUGUACAACACAGAUAAACUUUUGGAUUAUAUGCAAGUGCAAAAACUUACAGACAAAACAGGGAAUGUGAAAGGUUGCACUGAGGUUUUUUAUAAAGCCUGGGCUUGGACUUGAUUUUUCUUCUUCUGACAGCCUUUAGUUGGAUUUGUAUGAAAGGGAUAUUGAAGAAACUAAAUGUAGUUAGCAGAGAUCUCAGUUUCAUUUUCUCAUUGCCUUGAAUUAAAUUAUUCUGUUCCACUUGUCCAGAAGAGCAUCUCACAAUAUACUGUUUCUGUCUUGGGGCAGUAAUUGAUUUUUGUAUUUGUUUGUUUGUUUGGUUUUUUUCCCCCACAUAUCAUAGCUUCAGUUAAAACGGAGUCCUCCACUGGAACUGAGGCACCUGAAGUUCAAAUGCAUUUGUCUGUAAUUGUGACUUUAUUGUCUGUUUUUAUAUUAUUUCUGGAUCUUAUCCAUUAUAACUUCUUUGUGGCAGGCUGCAGAGGAUUUGCAGACCCUGAGUAGGAGGAGUCUGUAUAGCAAAUAUUUCUAGAGUAUUUCUUGUAUCUAAACUUACUUGUACUUUAGCUGUUGCUGCUGUUGGUAAUGUACCCCAUCUUUAUAAUAUACAUAUGCACAGAAGUCUAUAAAGGGAUUCAGUAAAGCACUUUUGCUGUGGUUUGUUUGA
Taeniopygia guttata (zebra finch) is the source of this 1579-nucleotide long non-coding RNA. The record is from Ensembl. NCBI's taxonomy places the organism in Eukaryota, Metazoa, Chordata, Aves, Passeriformes, Estrildidae.